Alosa alosa (allis shad) is the source of this 372-nucleotide long non-coding RNA. RefSeq lists it as uncharacterized. Lineage: Eukaryota; Metazoa; Chordata; Actinopteri; Clupeiformes; Clupeidae. The transcript is spliced from 3 exons. The record is from RefSeq and is a predicted model, not a curated record.
CUGGGUGGGAUCAGUAACGCAUCUCUGACAACAUGAGGACCCUCAUGAUUCCACUGUGUCUGCUGAUGCUGCUUAUCUCUGAGAAACUGAUCUCUUGUGCUCCUCCUCAUGUCAGCACUCCUCAAUGCUGCACUCAUUGUCUUCCCCCCUCGGUGAAGAUUCCAGUGCUGCGGGUUGUCGUACAGGACUACUAACAACAGCUGCUACACCAAGGCUUAUGUGUUUAAAACAAAAGCCGGGAAGGAGAUAUGUGUCAACCCAGAUCUGCCUUGGGUAAACAGGAUUGUCAAAAAGUUGAAGAAACCAGUGUGGGCUUCGAUCAACAAACACCAGCAGCACUAAUGAUAACAGAGAUGUUUUUCUGACUACCUC